Molecule: ribosomal RNA, 1452 nt
Filed under: Salmonella enterica
Lineage: Bacteria; Pseudomonadati; Pseudomonadota; Gammaproteobacteria; Enterobacterales; Enterobacteriaceae
Also listed under: 1 other name
Description: partial 23S ribosomal RNA
Rfam family: Bacterial large subunit ribosomal RNA
Source: RNAcentral
GAUUCGUCACACUAUCAUUAACUGAAUCCAUAGGUUAAUGAGGCGAACCGGGGGAACUGAAACAUCUAAGUACCCCGAGGAAAAGAAAUCAACCGAGAUUCCCCCAGUAGCGGCGAGCGAACGGGGAGGAGCCCAGAGCCUGAAUCAGCAUGUGUGUUAGUGGAAGCGUCUGGAAAGGCGCGCGAUACAGGGUGACAGCCCCGUACACAAAAGCGCAUGUGCUGUGAGCUCGAUGAGUAGGGCGGGACACGUGGUAUCCUGUCUGAAUAUGGGGGGACCAUCCUCCAAGGCUAAAUACUCCUGACUGACCGAUAGUGAACCAGUACCGUGAGGGAAAGGCGAAAAGAACCCCGGCGAGGGGAGUGAAAAAGAACCUGAAACCGUGUACGUACAAGCAGUGGGAGCACCCUUCGGGGUGUGACUGCGUACCUUUUGUAUAAUGGGUCAGCGACUUAUAUUCUGUAGCAAGGUUAACCGUAUAGGGGAGCCGGAGGGAAACCGAGUCUUAAUUGGGCGUUAAGUUGCAGGGUAUAGACCCGAAACCCGGUGAUCUAGCCAUGGGCAGGUUGAAGGUUGGGUAACACUAACUGGAGGACCGAACCGACUAAUGUUGAAAAAUUAGCGGAUGACCUGUGGCUGGGGGUGAAAGGCCAAUCAAACCGGGAGAUAGCUGGUUCUCCCCGAAAGCUAUUUAGGUAGCGCCUCGUGAAUUCAUCUCCGGGGGUAGAGCACUGUUUCGGCUAGGGGGCCAUCCCGGCUUACCAACCCGAUGCAAACUGCGAAUACCGGAGAAUGUUAUCACGGGAGACACACGGCGGGUGCUAACGUCCGUCGUGAAGAGGGAAACAACCCAGACCGCCAGCUAAGGUCCCAAAGUCAUGGUUAAGUGGGAAACGAUGUGGGAAGGCCCAGACAGCCAGGAUGUUGGCUUAGAAGCAGCCAUCAUUUAAAGAAAGCGUAAUAGCUCACUGGUCGAGUCGGCCUGCGCGGAAGAUGUAACGGGGCUAAACCAUGCACCGAAGCUGCGGCAGCGAACGUAUCACCCAAGACAACUUUACGGAGUUGACGAUUGACGGAGCGAAGCGACGUCAAAGCGUUCAUUAAAGUCGAGUUGGCUUAGGGAUACGUUCGUUGGGUAGGGGAGCGUUCUGUAAGCCUGUGAAGGUGUGUCGUGAGGCAUGCUGGAGGUAUCAGAAGUGCGAAUGCUGACAUAAGUAACGAUAAAGCGGGUGAAAAGCCCGCUCGCCGGAAGACCAAGGGUUCCUGUCCAACGUUAAUCGGGGCAGGGUGAGUCGACCCCUAAGGCGAGGCCGAAAGGCGUAGUCGAUGGGAAACGGGUUAAUAUUCCCGUACUUGGUGUUACUGCGAAGGGGGGACGGAGAAGGCUAUGUUGGCCGGGCGACGGUUGUCCCGGUUUAAGCGUGUAGGUGUGUGUUCCAGGUAAAUCCGGUU